UGAACAAAUAUGGGAAAUCGGUCGUCCGACCUGGGUAUAGGGGCAAAAGGCCAAUGGAACUGUCUAGCAGCUUGUUCCCUCUGCAGUUUCUCUCGGGAUAGCUGGUGCUCUCACUGAUGCACAAAAGAUGCACUUUUAUUCAUUCGGUAAAGUGAAUCAUUACAGGUCUUGGGGCAGAAAGGAUCUCAACUUCGUCUCAA
RNAcentral lists this non-coding RNA (200 nucleotides) under Myotis brandtii (Brandt's bat). Its description in RNAcentral is "Eukaryotic large subunit ribosomal RNA". It matches the Rfam family "Eukaryotic large subunit ribosomal RNA", at positions 881 to 1061 of the family's 3401-position model. The record is from Rfam by way of RNAcentral. Lineage: Eukaryota; Metazoa; Chordata; Mammalia; Chiroptera; Vespertilionidae.